This 247-nucleotide long non-coding RNA is filed under the name Elaeis guineensis (African oil palm). RNAcentral's name for it is "long non-coding RNA (EGUI_LNC022138)". The record is from RNAcentral. Lineage: Eukaryota; Viridiplantae; Streptophyta; Magnoliopsida; Arecales; Arecaceae.
UUGGAGAAAAUCUUUGUUCCAUCUGACCUUUUUGAAAGGAAGAAAACAGAUCUAAGUACGAUGAUUUCAUCACAACUCAAAUGGAUUCAUUGGUCAAGCAACUUAAAAAUUUUAACAAAUAUUAUGAUAAGAUUAAGAUUUCUCAAUGCACUUAAAAGUAAAGCAAGCGUUGCAACUAUAAAUAUAUGAAAAAGAUGCAUUGAUGCCAAAGAGCAAUUGAUGCAAUAAAAAACCAUGCAUAUAGGGC